RNAcentral lists this ribosomal RNA (168 nucleotides) under Phalaris truncata. RNAcentral describes it as "5.8S ribosomal RNA". It matches the Rfam family "5.8S ribosomal RNA". Rfam says of the family: 5.8S ribosomal RNA (5.8S rRNA) is a component of the large subunit of the eukaryotic ribosome. It is transcribed by RNA polymerase I as part of the 45S precursor that also contains 18S and 28S rRNA. Lineage: Eukaryota; Viridiplantae; Streptophyta; Magnoliopsida; Poales; Poaceae. The record is from RNAcentral.
AAUCAACAUGACUCUCGGCAACGGAUAUCUCGGCUCUCGCAUCGAUGAAGAACGUAGCGAAAUGCGAUACCUGGUGUGAAUUGCAGAAUCCCGCGAACCAUCGAGUCUUUGAACGCAAGUUGCGCCCGAGGCCAUUCGGUUAAGGGCACGCCUGCCUGGGCGUCACGC